Molecule: ribosomal RNA, 500 nt
Filed under: uncultured bacterium
Lineage: Bacteria
Description: partial 16S ribosomal RNA
Rfam family: Bacterial small subunit ribosomal RNA
Source: RNAcentral
AUUGAACGCUGGCGGCAUGCCUUACACAUGCAAGUCGAACGGCAGCACGGGAGCAAUCCUGGUGGCGAGUGGCGAACGGGUGAGUAGUACAUCGGAACGUGCCUAGUAGUGGGGGAUAGCCCGGCGAAAGCCGGAUUAAUACCGCAUACGACCUGAGGGUGAAAGCGGGGGAUCGCAAGACCUCGCGCUAUCAGAGCGGCCGAUGCCAGAUUAGGUAGUUGGUGGGGUAAAAGCCUACCAAGCCGACGAUCCGUAGCUGGUCUGAGAGGACGACCAGCCACACUGGGACGGGUACACGGCCCAGACUCCUACGGGAGGCAGCAGUGGAGAAUUUUGGACAAUGGGCGCAAGCCUGAUCCAGCCAUGCCGCGUGCAGGAAGAAGGCCUUCGGGUUGUAAACUGCUUUUGUCAGGGAAGAAAAGUUCUGGGCUAAUACCCCGGAGCGAUGACGGUACCUGAAGAAUAAGCACCGGCUAACUACGUGCCAGCCGCCGCCGUAA